GACGAACGCUGGCGGCGUGCCUAAUACAUGCAAGUAGAACGCUGAAGGAGGAGCUUGCUUCUCUGGAUGAGUUGCGAACGGGUGAGUAACGCGUAGGUAACCUACCUGGUAGCGGGGGAUAACUAUUGGAAACGAUAGCUAAUACCGCAUAACAGUAGAUAUCGCAUGAUAUCUACUUGAAAGGUGCAAUUGCAUCACUACCAGAUGGACCUGCGUUGUAUUAGCUAGUUGGUGAGGUAACGGCUCACCAAGGCGACGAUACAUAGCCGACCUGAGAGGGUGAUCGGCCACACUGGGACUGAGACACGGCCCAGACUCCUACGGGAGGCAGCAGUAGGGAAUCUUCGGCAAUGGACGGAAGUCUGACCGAGCAACGCCGCGUGAGUGAAGAAGGUUUUCGGAUCGUAAAGCUCUGUUGUAAGAGAAGAACGAGUGUGAGAGUGGAAAGUUCACACUGUGACGGUAUCUUACCAGAAAGGGACGGCUAACUACGUG
RNAcentral lists this ribosomal RNA (495 nucleotides) under uncultured bacterium. Its description in RNAcentral is "partial 16S ribosomal RNA". It matches the Rfam family "Bacterial small subunit ribosomal RNA", at positions 28 to 507 of the family's 1533-position model. The record is from RNAcentral.